AAUAUUUGAGUAAGGACAUUUUCCCAUCUUUUACUAUCAUUUUAAUAUGUCAGGGGCUUGCAACUUCAGUUGGUCUCCAAAUAUCAAUUACGGUGUUUAAUUUUCUUAAUGAAGCUAUAAACAAAUUAACUGCUUGAUGUUCUUUGUGACUGAGUUAUACAUUCUAGUGCAUAUAGGAUCUAAUAUCACCCCGUGAAUGUGCAUAUGGG
RNAcentral lists this unclassified non-coding RNA (209 nucleotides) under Hevea brasiliensis (rubber tree). Lineage: Eukaryota; Viridiplantae; Streptophyta; Magnoliopsida; Malpighiales; Euphorbiaceae. The record is from RNAcentral.